CUACCGUCCGCGAAUGCACCANGCAGAUUAAUGAUCCUGGCUCAAGUGACCGCUGGCGUAAAGCCUAACACAUGCAAGUCGAACGGCAGCACAGGAGAGCUUGCUCUCUGGGUGGCGAGUGGCGGACGGGUGAGGAAUACAUCGGAAUCUACUUUUUCGUGGGGGAUAACGUAGGGAAACUUACGCUAAUACCGCAUACGACCUACGGGUGAAAGCAGGGGAUCUUCGGACCUUGCGCGAUUGAAUGAGCCGAUGUCGGAUUAGCUAGUUGGCGGGGUAAAGGCCCACCAAGGCGACGAUCCGUAGCUGGUCUGAGAGGAUGAUCAGCCACACUGGAACUGAGACACGGUCCAGACUCCUACGGGAGGCAGCAGUGGGGAAUAUUGGACAAUGGGCGCAAGCCUGAUCCAGCCAUACCGCGUGGGUGAAGAAGGCCUUCGGGUUGUAAAGCCCUUUUGUUGGGAAAGAAAUCCAGCUGGCUAAUACCCGGUUGGGAUGACGGUACCCAAAGAAUAAGCACCGGCUAACUUCGUGCCAGCAGCCGCGGUAAUACGAAGGGUGCAAGCAUUACUCGGAAUUACUGGGCGUAAAAGCGUGCGUAGAGUGGUCGUUUAAGUCCGGUUGUGAAAAGCCCUGGGCUCAACCUGGGGAACUGCCAGUGGGAUUCCCUGGGGCGACUUGAAGUUGUGGUACGANGGUUACCGGAUUCCUUGGUGUCCGUGAACUGCGUAGAGGNUCGGGNGGACCUUCCUUGGCGCAGGCGUACCUNGGACCACCUNGCUUGUGGCCCUACUGNCUUUGNGGGCGACAGNUGUUAUCCCGGUGUCUCUCCCCUCAUCUAUGCGACCGUUGUUGUGGCUGC
Molecule: ribosomal RNA, 862 nt
Filed under: uncultured bacterium
Lineage: Bacteria
Description: bacterial SSU rRNA
Rfam family: Bacterial small subunit ribosomal RNA
Source: RNAcentral